UACGUAGGUGGCAAGCGUUGUCCGGAUUUACUGGGCGUAAAGAGCGCGCAGGCGGUCGUUCAAGUCGCGUGUGAAAGCCCCCGGCUCAACUGGGGAGGGUCACGCGAUACUGAUCGACUGGAAGGCAGGAGAGGGAAGCGGAAUUCCCGGUGUAGUGGUGAAAUGCGUAGAUAUCGGGAGGAACACCAGUGGCGAAGGCGGCUUCCUGGCCUGUUCUUGACGCUGAGGCGCGAAAGCGUGGGGAGCGAACAGG
RNAcentral lists this ribosomal RNA (253 nucleotides) under uncultured bacterium. RNAcentral's name for it is "partial 16S ribosomal RNA". It matches the Rfam family "Bacterial small subunit ribosomal RNA", at positions 524 to 776 of the family's 1533-position model. The record is from RNAcentral.